This 497-nucleotide ribosomal RNA is filed under the name uncultured bacterium. Its description in RNAcentral is "partial 16S ribosomal RNA". It matches the Rfam family "Bacterial small subunit ribosomal RNA", at positions 28 to 507 of the family's 1533-position model. The record is from RNAcentral.
GAUGAACGCUGGCGGCGUGCCUAAUACAUGCCAGUCGAGCGAACAGACGAUGAGCUUGCUCCUCUGACGUUAGCGGCGGACGGGUGAGUAAGACGUGGAUAACCUACCUAUAAUACUGGGAUAACUUCGGGAAACCGGAGCUAAUACCAGAUAAUAUAUUGAACCGCAUGGUUCAAUAGUGAAAGACGGUUUUGCUGUCUCUUAUAGCUGGAUCCGCGCCGCAUUAGCUAGUUGGUAAGGUAACGGCUUACCAAGGCGACGAUGCGUAGCCGACCUGAGAGGGUGAUCAGCCACACUGGAACUGAGACACGGUCCAGACUCCUACGGGAGGCAGCAGUAGGGAAUCUUCCGCAAUGGGCGAAAGCCUGACGGAGCAACGCCGCGUGAGUGAUGAAGGUCUUCGGAUCGUAAAACUCUGUUAUUAGGGAAGAACAAAUGUGUAAGUAACUAUGCACGUCUUGACGGUACCUAAUCAGAAAGCCACGGCUAACUACGUG